AAGAGAGGUUUGAUACAACAAGAACUGCUAAUUCUUUCACCCUGGGUUAAAUUCCCUGGCUCACUUG
RNAcentral lists this transfer RNA (67 nucleotides) under Cynoglossus nanhaiensis. Its description in RNAcentral is "tRNA-Ser". The record is from RNAcentral. Lineage: Eukaryota; Metazoa; Chordata; Actinopteri; Pleuronectiformes; Cynoglossidae.